This 75-nucleotide transfer RNA is filed under the name Planctomycetota bacterium. RNAcentral's name for it is "Planctomycetes bacterium tRNA-Glu". It matches the Rfam family "tRNA". Rfam says of the family: Transfer RNA (tRNA) molecules are approximately 80 nucleotides in length. Their secondary structure includes four short double-helical elements and three loops (D, anti-codon, and T loops). Lineage: Bacteria; Pseudomonadati; Planctomycetota. The record is from RNAcentral.
GGCAGGUUAGUGUAACGGUCAGCACGCAAGGUUUUCAUCCUUGUAUCACGGGUUCAAAUCCCGUACCUGUCGCGA